Cyprinus carpio (common carp) is the source of this 944-nucleotide long non-coding RNA. The record is from Ensembl. Lineage: Eukaryota; Metazoa; Chordata; Actinopteri; Cypriniformes; Cyprinidae.
AUGAUUGGACAUACAUUUAUUAAUGAAGGUCCACUCUACUCAGGACUUACUCCAGCUUUUUUCUCCCCUUUAAGUGGCAGUAAGGAGGAUACUCCAGUUUUGGAAUUGAAGGACUGUCCUGAUACAGAUGUGUCCCUUCUGGAAAGCCAGAAUGAACUGAAUCAGAAUGAUGUAGAUAAUAUCAACAACCUGGCCAUCAACUGGGACUUGUCAGCAACAGCAACAGAAUGUGGUUGGCAGAAACCAUUCUCCACCAUGGGGUAUGUAUAUCUUAUCAUAUAAAGGUGGAAGUAUGUGUUAAUUGCAGUUGGAUAUGUACUUGACCUUUUUCUAACUCUACAUAAGCCUGUUUACAUAACCAAUAAGUUAGGACAAAAGCUUCAAUCUUUCAUCAUGGCUUGCAUAGUGUUUAUAAUUUAUACUGUUUGUGGAUCAUUUCUAGGUUAUUGGUCGACGUGAAAAACAGAUUUCUCAGCUGCGGAGAGGACUCAAAGAUACAGGUGUUUUGAGAAUGAUAAAAGAACGACCCAGUUUAACUGCAGUACUGUUUCCCAGAUCUUCUGCACUGCUGAUGGAACCAGAGCUAACUGGUCUAUUCUACUUCAGAGAAUAGACCAUAUGGAAGCCAUUGCACUAAAUCAGCGGUUCUCAAUUCCAGUCCUCGCGCCCCCCAGCUCUGCAUAUUUUGCAUGUCUCUCUGUUAACACACCUGAUUCAGAUAAUCAGCUCCUUAGAAGUGAGCUCCGUGCAUGAACUGUGUUCCCACUGACAUGCUCCCUCCACAGUGUUCAUUGCUCCCUACUCCCUGAGCAGGGGAUAUCUGUUGAAGUUUACCUCACUUCGGAACAUUCAUUCACGGAUUUGCGCUGCGCAACGUCUUCACACACGGACAAGUUUGACAUCAUAUACGUCUGUAAAUAAAUACAAUUUAAAUUCACGUCUCA